UUAAAAAAAGGAAAUGGUGAAUUACAUUAAAAGCAAAUUAUAUUAGCAAUUUUGUGUGUAAGUUAAAAGCCACCUGCACAAGUACAGGUGGCUAGAAGCCAGAGUCCUUCAAGUGAAAGAGCCUGAGGCUUUAGCUGACCUCAUGUGUGCUAGGUCCCAUCUAUGGCUGGGGCGGAGAAAGCCAGUGGGUCCCUAGCCACCAUCCAAAGCUAGGCAGCGAGUGAGGGAGGCCCUCCCUGUGCCCACAGCUGGUCUGGCCACAGCCCCUGCGCUGCAGGGCUCACUCCCAGCUCCUGUGUUCUGGGAGAGCAGUGAUCCAGGUGAGGCAGAGCCACCCGCAGAGCCAUGAGGAGCAGGAAGUGCCAGGAUCAGUAUCUCUGCAUUCACUCACCCACACAUUGCUGCCUUCUUGGACUGACCUCCAAGACCACUACCUUUGUGUCUCCCUCGGCUGAAGGAGGGAGAGAGGCCAGAUUAUGUAUUAAAUGCAGUACCCUGAAGAGAUGCAAAGAAAGUGGAGAUGCGGUGGGAGAGAAAGGAGACACCAAAAGUCAUGAGGAGAGAAAUCAUGACCAAGUAGCUGUGGCUGCCCUCAGGGAAGGGGACUGGAAAAAUUCAUCCCCUCAUGUGGGGGAAAAGACCGCUUAGUAUCUUGGAACAAUGUUGCCUUUUGCUGAGCCUUGGGCAUUGAGGGAAAACUGACUUUCUGCUUUUUAUGCCAGAUAAGGAAAAAAUAAAAAUAAAAAUGUGAAA
Molecule: non-coding RNA, 753 nt
Organism: Macaca mulatta (Rhesus monkey)
Lineage: Eukaryota; Metazoa; Chordata; Mammalia; Primates; Cercopithecidae
Source: RefSeq, a predicted model, not a curated record